GCGGAAGUAGCUCAGUGGUAGAGCAUCGCCUUGCCAAGGCGAGGGUCGCGGGUUCAAAUCCCGUCUUCCGCU
Molecule: transfer RNA, 72 nt
Filed under: Neomoorella humiferrea
Lineage: Bacteria; Bacillati; Bacillota; Clostridia; Neomoorellales; Neomoorellaceae
Also listed under: 2 other names
Description: Moorella sp. 64_FGQ tRNA
Rfam family: tRNA
About the family: Transfer RNA (tRNA) molecules are approximately 80 nucleotides in length. Their secondary structure includes four short double-helical elements and three loops (D, anti-codon, and T loops). Further hydrogen bonds mediate the characteristic L-shaped molecular structure. tRNAs have two regions of fundamental functional importance: the anti-codon, which is responsible for specific mRNA codon recognition, and the 3' end, to which the tRNAs corresponding amino acid is attached (by aminoacyl-tRNA synthetases). tRNAs cope with the degeneracy of the genetic code in two manners: having more than one tRNA (with a specific anti-codon) for a particular amino acid; and 'wobble' base-pairing, i.e. permitting non-standard base-pairing at the 3rd anti-codon position.
Source: Rfam by way of RNAcentral